CACUAUCGUUAACUGAAUACAUAGGUUAACGAGGCGAACCGGGGGAACUGAAACAUCUAAGUACCCCGAGGAAAAGAAAUCAACCGAGAUUCCCCCAGUAGCGGCGAGCGAACGGGGAGCAGCCCAGAGUCUGAAUCAGCUUGUGUGUUAGUGGAACGGUCUGGAAAGUCCGACGGUACAGGGUGAUAGUCCCGUACACCAAAAUGCACAGGUUGUGAACUCGAAGAGUAGGGCGGGACACGUGGUAUCCUGUCUGAAUAUGGGGGGACCAUCCUCCAAGGCUAAAUACUCCUGACUGACCGAUAGUGAACCAGUACCGUGAGGGAAAGGCGAAAAGAACCCCGGCGAGGGGAGUGAAAAAGAACCUGAAACCGUGUACGUACAAGCAGUGGGAGCACCUUCGGGUGUGACUGCGUACCUUUUGUAUAAUGGGUCAGCGACUUAUAUUCUGUAGCAAGGUUAACCGUAUAGGGGAGCCGCAGGGAAACCGAGUCUUAACUGGGCGUUAAGUUGCAGGGUAUAGACCCGAAACCCGGUGAUCUAGCCAUGGGCAGGUUGAAGGUUGGGUAACACUAACUGGAGGACCGAACCGACUAAUGUUGAAAAAUUAGCGGAUGACUUGUGGCUGGGGGUGAAAGGCCAAUCAAACCGGGAGAUAGCUGGUUCUCCCCGAAAGCUAUUUAGGUAGCGCCUCGUGAACUCAUCUUCGGGGGUAGAGCACUGUUUCGGCUAGGGGGUCAUCCCGACUUACCAACCCGAUGCAAACUACGAAUACCGAAGAAUGUUAUCACGGGAGACACACGGCGGGUGCUAACGUCCGUCGUGAAGAGGGAAACAACCCAGACCGCCAGCUAAGGUCCCAAAGUCAUGGUUAAGUGGGAAACGAUGUGGGAAGGCACAGACAGCCAGGAUGUUGGCUUAGAAGCAGCCAUCAUUUAAAGAAAGCGUAAUAGCUCACUGGUCGAGUCGGCCUGCGCGGAAGAUGUAACGGGGCUAAACCAUGCACCGAAGCUGCGGCAGCGACACUAUGUGUUGUUGGGUAGGGGAGCGUUCUGUAAGCCUGCGAAGGUGACCUGUGAGGGUUGCUGGAGGUAUCAGAAGUGCGAAUGCUGACAUAAGUAACGAUAAAGCGGGUGAAAAGCCCGCUCGCCGGAAGACCAAGGGUUCCUGUCCAACGUUAAUCGGGGCAGGGUGAGUCGACCCCUAAGGCGAGGCCGAAAGGCGUAGUCGAUGGGAAACAGGUUAAUAUUCCUGUACUUGGUGUUACUGCGAAGGGGGGACGGAGAAGGCUAUGUUAGCCGGGCGACGGUUGUCCCGGUUUAAGCAUGUAGGCUGGUUAUCCAGGCAAAUCCGGAUAAUCAAGGCUGAGGUGUGAUGACGAGGCACUACGGUGCUGAAGUAACAAAUGCCCUGCUUCCAGGAAAAGCCUCUAAGCAUCAGGUAACAUCAAAUCGUACCCCAAACCGACACAGGUGGUCAGGUAGAGAAUACCAAGGCGCUUGAGAGAACUCGGGUGAAGGAACUAGGCAAAAUGGUGCCGUAACUUCGGGAGAAGGCACGCUGGUGUGUAGGUGAAGUCCCUGCGGAUGGAGCUGAGACCAGUCGAAGAUACCAGCUGGCUGCAACUGUUUAUUAAAAACACAGCACUGUGCAAACACGAAAGUGGACGUAUACGGUGUGACGCCUGCCCGGUGCCGGAAGGUUAAUUGAUGGGGUUAUCCGUAAGGAGAAGCUCUUGAUCGAAGCCCCGGUAAACGGCGGCCGUAACUAUAACGGUCCUAAGGUAGCGAAAUUCCUUGUCGGGUAAGUUCCGACCUGCACGAAUGGCGUAAUGAUGGCCAGGCUGUCUCCACCCGAGACUCAGUGAAAUUGAACUCGCUGUGAAGAUGCAGUGUACCCGCGGCAAGACGGAAAGACCCCGUGAACCUUUACUAUAGCUUGACACUGAACAUUGAGCCUUGAUGUGUAGGAUAGGUGGGAGGCUUUGAAGCGUGGACGCCAGUCUGCGUGGAGCCAACCUUGAAAUACCACCCUUUAAUGUUUGAUGUUCUAACGUUGGCCCCUUACCGGGGUUGCGGACAGUGUCUGGUGGGUAGUUUGACUGGGGCGGUCUCCUCCCAAAGCGUAACGGAGGAGCACGAAGGUUAGCUAAUCCUGGUCGGACAUCAGGAGGUUAGUGCAAUGGCAUAAGCUAGCUUGACUGCGAGCGUGACGGCGCGAGCAGGUGCGAAAGCAGGUCAUAGUGAUCCGGUGGUUCUGAAUGGAAGGGCCAUCGCUCAACGGAUAAAAGGUACUCCGGGGAUAACAGGCUGAUACCGCCCAAGAGUUCAUAUCGACGGCGGUGUUUGGCACCUCGAUGUCGGCUCAUCACAUCCUGGGGCUGAAGUAGGUCCCAAGGGUAUGGCUGUUCGCCAUUUAAAGUGGUACGCGAGCUGGGUUUAGAACGUCGUGAGACAGUUCGGUCCCUAUCUGCCGUGGGCGCUGGAGAAUUGAGGGGGGCUGCUCCUAGUACGAGAGGACCGGAGUGGACGCAUCACUGGUGUUCGGGUUGUCAUGCCAAUGGCACUGCCCGGUAGCUAAAUGCGGAAGAGAUAAGUGCUGAAAGCAUCUAAGCACGAAACUUGCCCCGAGAUGAGUUCUCCCUGAGACUUUAAGUCUCCUGAAGGAACGUUAAAGACGAUGACGUUGAUAGGCCGGGUGUGUAAGCGCAGCGAUGCGUUGAGCUAACCGGUACUAAUGAACCGUGAGGCUUAACCUU
This 2758-nucleotide ribosomal RNA is filed under the name Klebsiella pneumoniae. RNAcentral's name for it is "partial 23S ribosomal RNA". It matches the Rfam family "Bacterial large subunit ribosomal RNA". The record is from RNAcentral. Lineage: Bacteria; Pseudomonadati; Pseudomonadota; Gammaproteobacteria; Enterobacterales; Enterobacteriaceae.